This 457-nucleotide ribosomal RNA is filed under the name uncultured bacterium. RNAcentral describes it as "bacterial SSU rRNA". It matches the Rfam family "Bacterial small subunit ribosomal RNA", at positions 29 to 524 of the family's 1533-position model. The record is from RNAcentral.
AACGAACGCUGGCGGCAUGCCUAACACAUGCAAGUCGAACGGGAUCCUAGCUUGCUAGGUGAGAGUGGCGGACGGGUGAGUAACACGUGGGAAUCUGCCUUUUGGUUCGGGAUAACCGCGGGAAACUGCGGCUAAUACCGAAUGCCCUCGAGAGAGGAAAGAUUUAUCGCCAGAAGAGGAGCCCGCGUCCGAUUAGGUAGUUGGUGGGGUAAAGGCCUACCAAGCCGACGAUCGGUAGCUGGUCUGAGAGGAUGAUCAGCCACACUGGGACUGAGAUACGGCCCAGACUCCUACGGGAGGCAGCAGUGGGGAAUAUUGGACAAUGGGGGCAACCCUGAUCCAGCAAUGCCGCGUGAGUGAUGAAGGCCUUAGGGUGUAAAGCUCUUUUGCCAGGGAAGAUGAUGACUGUACCUGGAGAAUAAGCCCCGGCUAACUUCGUGCCAGCAGCCGCGGUAAU